This 524-nucleotide ribosomal RNA is filed under the name uncultured bacterium. Its description in RNAcentral is "bacterial SSU rRNA". It matches the Rfam family "Bacterial small subunit ribosomal RNA", at positions 777 to 1301 of the family's 1533-position model. The record is from RNAcentral.
AAUAGAUACCCAGGUAGUCCACGCCGUAAACGAUGAGUGCUAGGUGUUAGGGGUUUCAAUACCCUUAGUGCCGCAGCUAACGCAAUAAGCACUCCGCCUGGGGAGUACGGUCGCAAGACUGAAACUCAAAGGAAUUGACGGGGGCCCGCACAAGCGGUGGAGCAUGUGGUUUAAUUCGAAGCAACGCGAAGAACCUUACCAGGUCUUGACAUCCCGCUGACCGCUCUGGAGACAGAGCUUCCCUUCGGGGCAGCGGUGACAGGUGGUGCAUGGUUGUCGUCAGCUCGUGUCGUGAGAUGUUGGGUUAAGUCCCGCAACGAGCGCAACCCUUAUCUUUAGUUGCCAGCAUUCAGUUGGGCACUCUAGAGAGACUGCCGUCGACAAGACGGAGGAAGGCGGGGAUGACGUCAAAUCAUCAUGCCCCUUAUGACCUGGGCUACACACGUGCUACAAUGGUUGGUACAACGGGAUGCUACCUCGCGAGAGGAUGCCAAUCUCUUAAAACCAAUCUCAGUUCGGAUUGU